GACAGAGGGGGCAAGCGUUGCUCGGAAUCACUGGGCGUAAAGGGCGCGUAGGCGGGAUGGCAAGUCGGUCGUGAAAUCCUUCGGCUCAACCGAAGAACGUCGGCCGAUACUGCCGUUCUUGAGGGAUGCAGAGGAGAUUGGAAUUCCCGGUGUAGCGGUGAAAUGUGUAGAGAUCGGGAGGAACACCGGUGGCGAAGGCAGCUCGCUGGGACGGUACUGACGCUGAGGCGCGAAAGCGUGGGGAGCAAACAGG
RNAcentral lists this ribosomal RNA (253 nucleotides) under uncultured bacterium. RNAcentral's name for it is "partial 16S ribosomal RNA". It matches the Rfam family "Bacterial small subunit ribosomal RNA", at positions 524 to 776 of the family's 1533-position model. The record is from RNAcentral.